GUUGGAGAACUUGAUGUCGCACGGGAUGGGUAACAUCUUAAGUGACGGCCGGUUGUUCUCGGUGCCGGCCUGGUAGACGAAGUAGUGGCAGCUCUUAGCGUCGCGGCUGUCGUCCUGACGGAGGAUGGGGAUGCGGAGCAGGACGAGGUCGUCCUUCGAGUAGAUGACCUUGGGCAACCAGUCGAACGCGGAGGGCUUCACGUCGGGGGAAUGGACAGUGAAGCAGGAGACCCGCGGCGGGCUGGCCGCCCAGAAGGUGACCUGGAUUCUCUUGCCGUCCGCCGUGAAGCCAUCGGCGGUAGUGCCGUUGAGGCGACAGCUGAGGUAGCCGUAUCGGUCGAGGAGGAUCGACUCAGGAGGAGGAGAACCCGGAUCCUCGGUGUGGAUAAGCGGAGGGAUCCUGAGGAACGGAUUGACGGACGAGUCGGCCAUGGGAAGAUCUGGUGUGUGGGCGGAGCGGGGAGAGUCGACGCGGAGGUGAGGGGAUCGGAUCUGAGCGGCGGCUUGGCUGCCGAAAGGUACCGAUGAUUUGUGUAGGUAGAUCGUUGGCCGUAGAUGGUCUGGAGCAGGUUGCCUCCCUCCCUCUUUCAAAAAUCCCCUCUGACGUGCUGACCUCACAUUGAGCCUAGUUCUGAGAGCAAUUUUCAUGCCCAGCUUACAGAAAAGAUCCGUAUGCUAAUGCAAUCUCAUGGUUAUCUGGAUGCAUUGACUUGAAUUGGCACUACAUGAUUUCUCUGAUCUCAGUUUAUCUCGCUGAGACACCAAGAGCUGCUGCGCCUGUAAAUUGGUACUUGCCAAGAUCAUUCUAGUCAUCAAUUAAAAAUAGAUAAAUCUAGGCAUAGUUUCUAAUUGUAGUAUGCUCAUGUUUUAUGCCAUUCUAGUAUCUAUCCAAAUAAAAAUUCUUUUAGUUGGCAUAUUAUCCAUAUUGAUUAUUCCACAAUGUAGAUCAGUCCUUUUCGACAAGGUUUAUUUGUUGGAUAAGAGAUACCUAUUCAGAUAACUAGAGAUUUGUUUCCUUCUUUUCUCUUAUAAAUGAUUUGAUGAAUUUUAUACUUUUAAUUGUGAAUAUGACUAGAUGAGUUCAAUUAAAAAUUCAGAUGAGCGAUUUGGUUUUGGUUCAGUGAUGUAAAUUUUCAGAUGUGCAUGCUCCUUACUGCCUGAUAUACAUUCAUCUGAGAGAUGCUGAUAUGAUUUGCCAAUCCGAAUUUGGUGCUAGGUGCAGGUUUUGGUUUGAUCCCUUGAUAUGAGUUAAUAAAUUCAGAUCAGUAUACUUUGUUAAUCAUUCCAGAUGUUCUGAAGCUUUGGACUUAGAAACAUUGCAUACGAAACUACUUUGCCUUGUCAAUAUGCCUCUUUCUAUCCGAAAUGCUUAUGGUAGGCCCGAUUGGCUUCUUUUUUAGUCCCUGACGUUGUGUGAUGCUGUCUCUACAGGGUUGACGGGAUGGCUUCUACUACCAAGGCCCAUGCUUCAUGACUAGCUGGAGUUGACGAGCAGAAGGCCAACAGUGUUACGUGAAUUACGCAACUCCUGCUGGCUCCGACCCAAACAUAGCCUUUUGGAUCAUCUUUUGUGCAGGUGUUGAGCACCAGGACCAUCUAGCUAAACUUCCAUGUGCUGCGAUUAGGUUCCUGCCUGGAUUUGGUUAUAUUACCCAUUUUCACCAUUCUAUUCUUCAACUCCGUUCAUUUUAUUUUAGCUCUUCCAUGAGAUGAGAUGGGUCUUGCAAACGUCUUUCUUAUUGAUAUUAUAUGCAUAUUUUUUUAAAACUGAUUACUAGUUAAAGUUAUGUAGUAAAGGGUGGAUCAAAGUGCCACUUCCAUAGUUGUUACAUGAACUAGUCGUUGGUUAGGUUUCUGAAAUCAUGUCAGUAUCUGCUCUUCUUAAAUUGCAUGUAUUGAAUUUUAGGCAUGCGAUUCUAUAUUGUUAUAUAUAUCUAUGUAGUAGCUGAUAUUACAGAUUUAAGGUUCCUUAUUGUUACAUUUUAAAUGGUCUGCUUAGGUCACCUUGCAGUGAGAUGGCAUCCAGUAAUCUCUGUUGCUUUGUUCAAAUUUGAUGGCACUACUCUUAAUACCGAGUCCCUCAAUAGUGUCAGCAUGAUUGCAUAGCUGGAAUGGUGGCUAAAUUAAACAUUGGGCUCAGUUCAAUUGUCAUUUUAGAGCACCCUCUGCACUGCUCUUGAGCUCCAGGACCAUCUUCUUGCGAAACUUCAAUGACCUUAGGUUAGGUUCCUGCAUGCAGCUUUGAUUUGGUUUUCUAUUGUUGCCAGUCUGUUGUUCUUCAGUUCCCAUUCAUUUUGUUAUGGCUUUUCCAUGAGAUGGAUCCUGCAAACUGCUAUCUGCUUUGCAUAUAAUUGCAAUAUAAGCUAUUUCCAUUCACAUGCGUCAUCAUUUGUGAAUAGAAAAGUAUAUGCCACAAUGCAUAGGUUGUUAGCUCUUGUGUUCCAGCAUAGUAUUAUUUGUGCUCAAGCUAAUUUUGAUGCAAAUAACUGAGGUUUCUAUGGUGCAAUACACCUAGGAAUAUAUAGCAGGGAUUGAGAAAACCUACCAUUCAAAAUUCCAUUCACCUCGUACAUAUGUUUAGCCUAGUCUUUGUGCAGGAUAAGCUCAAGAUCUAAUCACAUAUGAUCAACAUAGUAUUACAGGACAUCUUAUGUUCAUUCGUACUACAAGUGCAACACAAAUCAAGCAUCAUGGAGAGUCUUCCAUUAAGUUAUAUAAAAAGAACAGUCAGUAGAUGGAUAGGAGAAAAGCUUCUAGCCCCAAAUGAUUUUAGAACAAACCCUGCUAAACCUAAUGUCUAUUGCCUAUUAUCCUGCCACUAGUAGGGAUCUUGAAGCUAAGCAGCAAGAAACCUGCAUAAUCACUAAUUAAGAAUAAUCACAUUCAAACAUAGAAGCUAGAUUGCUAUGCUAUCCUAUCCUCAGUUACCUCCGAUGGCACAAACGCCAUGAACCUUGUCAUAGGAGUGGGAUUAUAGGGGGCUAAAUCCAUCAGCCCUCUUUUCGCCAUCAUAUUCCUGCAUUCACCAUGAGUGAUGGAACCAAAUUGUGCAUUAACCUGCCAUGUCAAAGAAUGCAUGAUAACCUCAAGGUCAAUGUAGAUUGAUAUGAUUUUUUUUCAUUACAAGAAAGGGACUGGUUAUCUGCACAUCUCAAGAAAGAACAGACACACAUCAAUCCAUUUUUCCAUCCAUUUUUCGAGGAUGCAUAUGUACCAUAGGAGCACGAACAUAAUACAGUAACAGAUAAAUAGGUACAGAACCUCAAGAGUAAACUGCAAUUCAGGAAUCAUGGCACAUAUCAGAUUAUUAAGACAUGUUAUAGUCCGACCUCAAGUUCUAGCCUAAAUCAUGUAAAUCUUCUAGAAAGAGAAUGUCCCCACUACACUUGCCGAGUAUAAUUUAACAAGCAAAAUGGAAGAAAAGAAAAGCAUCCCCAUUGCAUUUUUGAGAUAAUGACCUCACAAAUGUUCCCUCUUUGUGACUUCCAUUCACAGUUAGAGAGAAAAUAAUUUCAGUAAGCAACUUAAAAUAAUGUGAACAUUUUUUCAUGAGGGGGAUAGCACACUGAAAAACGAACACCAUCUCUUGGCUGAUGCACAAGCUUGAAACGUGAUUCUAGAUGUGUCUUUGCAGGUGUACAAUUCUCAAAAUAUAUUAAGUUAUGAUCACAACUGUAGAUCAAGAUAAGGCUAUUUUAGCUAGAGGCAUCACCAUCCAUGCAUCUUGAGUUGGCAUAUUCUUAUUAAAAUGUAUGUACAUAUAUUUUUGCUCUUAAAUGCCAACUGCAAUAAUGUUCAUAUAUCAAGCUGGACAGAAACACGGUAGUCGGCGCAGGAUAGAUAGCACAAUGGAAGCAGAGGCGGGCUUCAUUGGCUGUUGGCCCUGCUUAGCAGAGGCGGGGAGGUUUUGGGCUAAAAAGGCUUGAGGAAGAGAAGUGGUGGCCCUAUGCUGGGGUGUUCUGGGCUGGAUUCAAGAUAUUGGAAAAGAGGGAAGGAGAAGGUAUGCUAGGAUAGAGAGGCAUUCGAUCCAUAAAUGGCAUUAUUUCUGACCUAGCUUGUCAGUCAUAAAUAGUCAUGGCUUUUAUGACUCAGCUAAAGGAGGCCCGGCAGCUGCUUGCUACUAUCUACUCAUUGGGCGUCCUAUCAUCGGACACUAGUGGGAGCGUUGAACUGCUCAUUCCCCUUCCCCUGUUCAUCUUUGUCGCAGCUUGAUCCUAAGAUUUGAACUUCAUAUAUAUGUGCGGUUCAAUGGAGAAUUCGUUUGGAGAUACAAGUGAUACAACCUACAUGUGCACUUAUGUUUUCCUUGAACCAUGUACAUUUAACCGUGAAAUGUGUUGAAAUGCCUUUUGGAUCAAACCUUCUUUGACAUUUUGUCAUUUUUUUGCUUGAAUCUCCUUUAUGUGGCAGAAUAGCCCAUUGCCAGCAGGUUUUGGGAGCAUUUUGGAAAAUUUUGCUAGUGCACGAAAAACGAUGCAAAAUGGGUGCAUUUCGGUAACCAAAUGCUCUAUUUCGAGGUAGCGUACUUCCGACGGAUUUUUUUCCCUACGAAUACAUCCAAUCUACCCCAUUAAACCCUAGAUGAUGUUUGGGAGCAUUUUAGAGUAUUUCGCUAGUGCACGAAAAAGAUGCGAAACGGGUGCAUUUCGAUACCCAAAUGCACUGUUUCGACUGAUUAUUCGCUAUGAACACAUCCAAUCUACUCCAUUAGACCCUAGAUGAUGUUUGGGAGCAUUGCGCUGCAAAAAAAAGAUGCGAAACGGAUGCGUUUCAGUACCCGAAUGCACUGUUUCGGGAUAUCGAACUUCCGACGGAUUUUUUCGCUACGAACGCAUCCAAUCUACUCCAUUAGACCCUAGAUUAUAUUUGGGAGCAUUUUGGAAUAUUUCGAUAGUGCAGAAAAACGAUGCGAAAUGGGUGCGUUUCGGUACCCGUAUGCACCAUUUGUAGCGAACUUUUGAUGGAUUUUUUUUUGCUACAAACGCAUCCAAUCUACUCCAUUAGACCCUAGAUUAUAUUUGGGAGCAUUUUGGAACAUUUCGAUAGUGCAGAAAAACGAUGCGAAAUGGGUGUGUUUAGUACACGUAUGCUUUGUUUCGGGGUAGCGAACUUUUGAUGGAUUUUUUCGCUACGAACGCAUCCAAACUACUCCAUUAGACCCUAGAUGAUUUUUGGGAGCAUUUUGGAACAUUUCGCUAGUGCACGAAAAAUGAUGCGAAAUGGGUGCGUUUCGGUACCGAAUGCACUGUUUUGGGGUAGCGAACUUCUGACGGAUUUUUUCGCUAGGAACGCAUGCAAUCUACUCCAUUAGACCCUAGAUGAUGUUUGGGAGUAUUUUGGAGCAUUUAGUUAGUGCACGAAAAAUGAUGCAAAACAGUGCAUUUCAGUACAACUAUGGAAAUGUUGCGAAAAAUUGUUAUAAGGAUAUGGAAAUGUUUUGAAAAUGAUAUUUCAAAUAAUAUACUAGUUACAACUAUUAAAUGAGGCACCAUCACAAUGGUCAUGAAAUAAAAUGUAAAAUAUCAAAACUUGGCAUGUCUGUUUGCUUGAAAAUGGAACGAAGGAGUGGCACGCUGGAGGCGUGCCUCAGACUCUAGUAGUAUAAGUUCUGAACUGAGAUGGAAAAAAGGCACGCCGAAUGGGCGUCUCAAGCUCUAGUUGGCAGAAUAGGGCCACAUCAUCACUACAGCCUCAAGCCCUAAAAGGCUCAAAGAAAGAUGCUCACCAACCAGAUAGCAAAAUCAUAAGAGGAGGUUGGUAGCCAUAUAACCAAAGAGACACGGCAACUAGAUAAUGAAAACACGAGUUCCUCAGGGAUGAGGCUAAAGGAGGUCGGCAGCCACAUAGCCAAAGAGGCACUAGGGUAUUUGGUUACUCGUAUCAUUUAAGUUCGUAUAAAGAUAAAUACUGUUCCUUUUAUUUGGUUGGAUUAAAGGUGUAUUUGGUUACAUGCACCACAUGAUUAAAUGCAUGGAUGAUCCUAGAUGGUGGGUUCAACCAAUUUGUUUGCAUCAUAUGGUUCGCUAUUAUUAGUAAAAUAAUGUAUCAAGUGGGAUGGCUUCAUCAUGACCGGGGACCGGGAUGGUACAAUUCAUCUAACCAAACAAAAGAAUCAUUAUUAUUUUGAACCAUUUCAUACAUGAAUCAAAUAAUACAAAUGAUACAAAGCAACAAAACACACCCCGAUUGUACCAACUCAUCCCGGAUGCCCACUUUAGUACAAUUACAGGUGUGAACUCUAUGAUACAAACUAGUUGAAUUACACCAUGCAGAUAUCCAUACAUCAUGCAGAGAGGUCAGCAGCACUCCUAGGACCCUCGGAAGAUGCUUAGAUAUUGUUGACAAUGGCCAUUCAUCCAUAAAUAAGUAAUGAAAUAUGUGUUUAAAAAAAUGCAUUCAUCCAUAAAUAACAGCCCUCACACGGCUAGCAUGCCACAUAGUCCUCGAUGACUAACAAAUAUAGUCCGCAAACAUAGCUGACACGAUGCAAGCUAAUGUAAUACAGGUCCAUCAAUAAUGCAACACCUCAUAGACAUCACACCACGGGUGAGGUGUGAAGGGCUUUGUUUCAACUUGCACACCAAUUUAGUGAUCACCAUGCUAAGUAGUACCCUUUGUGCUUUGCUUCCAAGUUUAGACUUAGGUUGCGGUUGGCUGCGGUUCAGCGUUCACCUCUAGAACUUCUAGCUUGCAUGGCCCCAGACAUCCAUCCCUACUUGUUUCACCAGCAUUCCUCCCAGAUCUGUUUCAUGUACAAGAGUGCAUCUUAGUUAAAAAAUCCCUUGGUUUGAAAACAAUAAUUAUAGAUGAUAAGAAAAAGCAAGAAUUCUAUAGUAAACAUGUCUAUGUACUAACAGAAACCUAAACAGCAAAAGCAAAGAUUACAUAGCAAGCAUGUUCAUGUACCAAAAGAAAAUAUUGCUUCAUUGGUGCAAAUUUUUGCAUCAUUUUGGCAAUAAUGACCAAGAAAUUCUGUUCAGUAAGGGUGAGGCACACCAUAUGGCCUGCAACAUGCAACGUGUGCUUGAAUUAUGGAAAUGAGACAAUUGCGCACUGGUGUGUUAACAUUUUCCCCUCAAAGAAGUUAACUAUAAAGAUUAUUUGGCUCCUUAGAUGGUAUGAAAAAUCACAAGGUUAGGCAACUAGUAAUACAGAUAGUGCUUACUGUGUUCAAUUCAAGUCAUAUUGGUUCUGAUAAAAAUUAAUAAAUCUUAAGAGAAAAGGAAAAAUAUGUAGCAGGCAGGGGUGGAGCUGCACGGGGUGCUGGGGGUGCUGCAGCACCCCCUCAGGUCAUGCUAGUCCAUUUAAUAUUAACUGUUUUAUCUUAAAACUUUGAACAUAAAACAUGAACUUAGUUCAAUUAUAGAGUCUCAGCACCCCCUUUGAGCUGAUUCUGGCUCCACCCCUGGUAGCAGGCAUGUGCACAUUCCAGAAGCAAGCAUUGUUUUAGUGUUGCACAUUUAGCACCAUUUUAACCAUGACCAAUAAGGGCGAGUUACACAAUAUGGCAUGCAAGGUGGAACACAUGAAAGAUGAAUCCUGGCUAUGAGAUAGGAUAAUAGAUAUUUGGUAGCCAUGAACAAACUGCUAAACCAUAUGAUCUUUCAGGCACAGCACACUAUAAGCAGAAACUUCUGGGAGAAGGGUUUUACUAGACAUGAUAGGGAACAAUGCAGUACAGUUGAGACAGACUUCUUUAAAUGUUGAAAUGAAGCGAUCCCUUAUACUUCAUCAAAAAGAAGCUCCAGAAUGUAGAUGUAGUGGCGGGGGAGGUAUAAGUGCUAAUUUUGCGGAUGGAAAUGUAAAAGAUAGUACGAUUUAUCAAUGCAGGUACAAUAUUAACAAUCGAGAGACAAAUAGUUAAUUGAAUAACAAUAAACCAGACAGAUCUAAAGAACACUAGGACUAGGAGCACUGCUAUGAAUAAAUAAUGACUAAUAAUGAAGACCGGAAGCAAAAUGAGCGUUAUUACACAGUAUACCAUGAUGUUAGUAGUAUAACAUAAUUAAAACAAAUGCUCCUGCCAGAUAACAAAUGGAUACCGCAGCUUCAGAAUGAAAGAACCUACUCGUGCUGCUGGUACAUUUUAGUUUUAGUUUAUAUGUACUAUGUUGGUCCAAAACAGAGAAUGCAAAAAAAAAUUACCUGGAGGAGGACCAAAUGUUCAGAUGCUUGGAGAUCCCACUUUUAAGGUAGGUGAAAGUGUAACCCAGAGGCCUUCCAGAGCCAAAAUCAGCCACAUCUUUUAGAGUCUUUUUUCUCAUAUCAAGUGCAAUCACCAAUGCCUUGUCCUCAUCGGGAUCAGGUGUGUGCAUGAUGUAAACAACAUCAGCGUCAUGCAAGCUCAGAGCAGGGUAACCCGCACAAAGUCUCAUCAAGGUUAGCUUUGUAUUUUUAACCUGUUUCAGAUUAGGCAGCAUCAGCAUUCGAGCAAACUUGGGGCUGUCCACUGGGAUGUCAGAAAAUUUGAAAGUGCAGUCCUCUUCCCAGUUGUUCCCAGAACCAAUAUCUGAAAUUUUCAUUUUCUUUGUUGCAGCCACCAAAUCUUGAGUUGCAGACGUGAGUCCAGAGCCUGGUCUGACGUCGUAGCUCAUCUCGAAAUACUUGAUGCAAUCUCCAACCACAACAAUGUCCCGGAAAUACAUCGGAUAACCCUUGAGCAGCUUGGGCACCAGUGGCAAUGGUAAUGGAAUAUAGCGAAGACUGUGGUUGUCCCGGAGAAGGUCACAGAUAAGCAUGCCCCGCCAGAGAUCGACCCAGCCCACUGAACCGAACUCACCUCCGAUGGUGACCGCAAUGUUUGGAUAUGAAUAAUUCAAAUAAUUCACUGAAUCAACAAACUGAUUCUCAGUGUUCCAUGUACCUGUCUUGGAGUUGUACAGGUGGAGAUCAAAUCGCUUGCCGUUGUUCUUAGGAUCGAUGAUCCUAUGAAGCAGGGCGAAGUAGAACAUAUCUUGGUCGCGGCAACGCAACAGCACAAGCUCGUCGUAGGAGAACGUGAAGUCGCACGGGAUGGGUAACAUCGUAAGUGACGGCCGGUUGUUCUCGGUGCCGGCCUGGUAGACGAAGUAGUGGCAGCUCUCAGCGUCGAGGCUGUCGUCCUGACGGAGGAUGGGGAUGCGGAGCAGGACGAGGUCGUCCUUCGAGUAGAUGACCGUGGGCAACCAGUCGAACGCGGAGGGCUUCACGUCGGGGCAAUGGACAGUGAAGCAGGAGACCCGCGGCGGGCUGGCCGCCCAGAAGGUGACCUGGAUUCUCUUGCCGUCCGCCGUGAAGCCAUCGGCGGUAGUGCCGUUGAGGCGACAGCUGAGGUAGCCGUAUCGGUCGAGGAGGAUCGACUCAGGAGGAGGAGAACCCGGAUCCUCGGUGUGGAUAAGCGGAGGGACCCUGAGGAACGGAAGGAGGGACGAGCGGGCCAUGGGAAGAUCUGGUGUGUGGGCGGAGCGGGGAGGUGAGGAGGGGAUAGAAACCCUAACGCCGAGUGAUGCCUCUGCUAGGCUCGCUGCCAAUGUUUCGCCAUACACCGCGUCAGGCCCACCCCGCCGCUUCGCUCUUUGUGGGAUAGGUGGGCUUCAUGGGCUGUUGGCCCGGCUUAGCUGAGGCGGGGAGGUUUUGGGCUAAAAAGCCCCGAGGGAAGAGAAGUGGUGGCCCCAUGCUGGGGUUUACUUGAAUGCCGGUUUGCUCUGUUCUUCCAAAGUCUGACCAAACUGAAUCGGCUCCUGUUUUCGACAAACUGAAUGGAAGCGAAUGGACGGACGACAUGCAUAUUACACGUCCAUGGCACAAACAAUUCGCGCAGGCUAAACGUUCACUCUACGAACGGUGCUAUUAUCUUUCACAACGCAAGGGGGUUGAAAUUUAGCAAGCAGUUCAACAAUCAACAGUAGGGCCCUAAUUAAAACCCCCGGGUGGCUCAGGACUAGCGCGCAUCACGAUGAUAAUUCAAUCAUAUCUCCUGCGUCCCCAAGUUCGACACGGGGCAAGAGAAGGAUAAUACCAGUAUGGCUCAGCCACAUCCCAUCUGUUGUUGUCAAAUAAAAUGUAACCGAAUUAUUUAUGUGAAACAAACGAAAGAAAAUAGUAUUGGCAUGUGUCAAAGAAUACCCACCUAUUUGGAUUAACGUCAGCAGCAAAACACCUACGAACAAAAAUAAAAAAACUUGACAUCCAAAUAAUCCAACUACUUAUUUAACUUCUUCAUUCCAAACUAAUAUGCAUGCUAAUUUUGCUAUGUAUAUGUGUGUGUAUAUAUAAUAUGGUACCGUACGGAACAGCCGUACCCGAGCCCAUCCGCCGGACCAGGCUCGCUCGCAUCCCGCCGGUUUUUGUUUCACCCCACCUCCUCCGGGUUUUUUUUCGACUUUUUCCUCCGAACGUGGGUGAUUCGUCGUGGCAGUUCAGUUUCCCGUCGCGCCUCCCACCUUCCGAUCCAGGUUGACUGCAACGGAAUCGCAUUUGUGGAGUUCUUCCUCGGUCACGAUAGCUUCCUAAUACCCCCCUUCACCUUGAUUUCUACGGAUUAAUGAGAUCUCAUUCUCCCCCAUCGCAAGGUGCCCUCUAUUCUUCUCCCGUGUGUUUUCAGUUGAUUUUGAUUGAUUUCCCACUAAGGUACCAAUGAUUUGUGCAGGUAGAUCGUUGGCCGUAGAUGGUCUGGAGCAGGUUGCCUCCCUCCCUCUUUCGAAAAUCCCUCUGACCUGCUGACCUCGUUCAGACAUUGAGCCUAGUUCUGAGAGCAAUUUUCAUGCCCAGCUUACAGACAAGAUCCAUGUGCUAAUGCAAUCUCAUGGUUAUCUGGAUGCAUUGACUUGAAUUGGCACUACAUGAUUUCUCUUAUCUCAGUUUAUCUCGCUGAGACACCAAGAGCUGCUGCGCCUGUAAAUUGGUUCUUGCCAAGAUCAUUCUAGUCAUCAAUUAAAAAUAAAUAAAUCUAGGCAUAGUUUCUAAUUGUAGUAUGCUCAUGUUUUAUGCCAUUCUAGUAUCUAUCCAAAUAAAAAUUCUUUUAGUUGGCAUAUUAUCCAUGUUGAUUAUUCCACAAUGUAGAUCAGUCCUUUUCGACAAGGUUUAUUUGUUGGAUAAGAGAUACCUAUUCAGAUAACUAGAGAUUUGUUUCCUUCUUUUCUCUUAUAAAUGAUUUGAUGAGCUUUAUACUUUUAUUUGUGAAUAUGACUAGAUGAGUUCCAAUUAAAAAUUCAGAUGAGCGAUUUGGUUUUGGUUCAGUGAUGUAAAUUUUCAGAUGUGCAUGCUUCUUACUGCCUGAUAUACAUUCAUCUGAGAGAUGCUGAUAUGAUUUGCCAAUCCGAAUUUGGUGCUAGGUGCAGGUUUUGGUUUGAUCCCUUGAUAUGAGUUAAUAAAUUCAGAUCAGUAUACUUUGUUAAUCAUUCCAGAUGUUCUGAAGCUUUGAACUUAGAAACAUUGCAUACGAAACUACUUUGCCUUGUCAAUAUGCCUCUUUCUAUCCGAAAUGCUUAUGGUAGGUCCGAUUGGCUUCUUUUUUAGUCCCUGACGUUGUGUGAUGUUGUCUCUACAGGGUUGACGGGAUGGCUUCUACUACCAAGGCCCAUGCUUCAUGACAAGCUGGAGUUGACGAGCAGAAGGCCAACAGUGUUACGUGAAUUACCCAACUCCGGCUGGCUCCGACCCAAACAUAGCCUUUUGGAGCAUCUUUUGUGCAGGUGUUGAGCACCAGGACCAUCUAGCUAAACUUCCAUGUGCUGCGAUUAGGUUCCUGCCUGGAUUUGGUUAUAUUACCCAUUUUCACCAUUCUAUUCUUCAACUCCGUUCAUUUUAUUUUAGCUCUUCUAUGAGAUGAGAUGGGUCCUGCAAACGUUUUUCUUAUUGAUAUUAUAUGCAUAUUUUUUAAAAUUGAUUACUAGUUAAAGUUAUGUAGUAAAGGGUGGAUCAAAGUGCCACUUCCAUAGUUGUUAUAUGAACUAGUCGUUGGUUAGGUUUCUCAAAUCAUGUCAGUAUCUGCUCUGCUUAAAUUGCAUGUAUUGAAUUUUAGGCAUGCCAUUCUAUAUUGUUAUAUAUAUCUAUGUAGUACCUGAUAUUACAGAUUUAAGGUUCCUUAUUGUUACAUUUUAAAUGGUCUGCUUAGGUCACCUUGCAGUGAGAUGGCAUCCAGUAAUCUCUGUUGCUUUGUUCAAAUUUGAUGGCACUACUCUUAAUACAGAGUUCCUCAAUAGUGUCAGCAUGAUUGCAUAGCUGGAAUGGUGGCUAAAUUAAACAUUGGGCUCAGUUCAAUUGUCAUUUUAGAGCACCCUCUGCACUGUUCUUGAGCUCCAGGACCAUCUUCUUGCGAAACUUCAAUGACCUUAGGUUAGGUUCCUGCAUGCAGCUUUGAUUUGGUUUUCUAUUGUUGCCAGUCUGUUGUUCUUCAGUUCCCAUUCAUUUUGUUAUGGCUUUUCCAUGAGAUGGAUCCUGCAAACUGCUAUCUGCUUUGCAUAUAAUUGCAAUAUAAGCUAUUUCCAUUCACAUGCGUCAUCAUGGAGAGUCUUCCAUUAAGUUAUAUAAAAAGGACAGUCAGUAGGUGGAUAGGAGAAAAGCUUCUAGCCCCAAAUGAUUUUAGAACAAUCCCUGCUAAACCUAAUGUCUAUUGCCUAUUAUCGUGCCACUAGUAAGGAUCUUGAAGCUAAGCAGCAAGAAACCUGCAUAAUCACUAAUUAAGAAUAAUCACAUUCAAACAUAGAAGCUAGAUUGCUAUGCUAUCCUAUCCUCAGUUACCUCCGAUGGCACAAACGCCCUGAACCUUGUCAUAGGAGUGGGAUUAUAGGGGGCUAAAUCCAGCAGCCCUCUUUUAUCCAUCAUAUUCCUGCAUUCACCAUGAGUGAUGGAACCACAUUGUGCAUUAACCUGCCAUGUCAAAGAAUGCAUGAUAACCUCAAGGUCAAUGUAGAUUGAUAUGAUUUUUUUUUCAUUACAAGAAAGGGACUGGUUAUCUGCACAUCUCAAGAAAGCACAGACACACAUCAAUCCAUUUUUCCAUCCAUUUUUCCAGGAUGCAUAUGUACCAUAGGAGCACGAACAUAAUACAGUAACAGAUAAAUAGGUACAGAACCUCAAGAGUAAACUGCAAUUCAGGAAUCAUGGCACAUAUCAGAUUAUUAAGACAUGUUGUAGUCCGACCUCAAGUUCUAGCCUAAAUCAUGUAAAUCUUCUAGAAAGAGAAUGUCCCCACUACACUUGCAGAGUAUAGUUUAACAAGCAAAAUGGAAGAAAAGAAAAGCAUCCCCAUUGCAUUUUUGAGAUAAUGGCCUCACAAAUGUUCCCUCUUUGUGACUUCCAUUCGCAGUUAGAGAGAAAAUAAUUUAAGUAAGCAACUUAAAAUAAUGUGAACAUUUUUUCACGAGGGGGAUAGCACACUGAAAAACGAACACCAUCUCUUGGCUGAUGCACAAGCCUGAAACGUGAUUCUAGAUGUGUCUUUGCAGGUGUACAAUUAUCAAAAUAUAUUAAGUUAUGAUCACAACUGUAGAUCAAGAUAAGGCUAUUUGAGCUAGAGGUAUCACCAUCCAUGCAUCUUGAGUUGGCUUAUUCUUAUUAAAAUGUAUGUACAUAUAUUUUUGCUCUUAAAUGCCAACUGCAAUAAUGUUCAUAUAUCAAGCUGGAUAGAAACACGGUACUCGGCGCAGGAUAGAUAGCACAAUGGAAGCAGAGGCGAGCUUCAUGGGCUGUUGGCCCGGCUUAGCAGAGGCGGGGAGGUUUUGGGCUAAAAAGGCUUGAGGAAGAGAAGUGGUGGCCCUAUGCUGGGGUUUUCUGGGCUGGAUUCAAGAUAUUGGAAAAGAGGGAAGGAGAAGGUAUGCCAGGAUAGAGAGGCAUUCGAUCCAUAAAUGGCAUUAUUUCUGACCUAGCUUGUCAGUCAUAAAUAGUCAUGGCUUUUAUGACUCAGCUAAAGGAGGCCCGAUAGCUGCUUGCUACUAUCUACUCAUUGGGUGUCCUAUCAUCGCACACUGGUGGGAUCGCUGAACUGCUCAUUCCCCUUCCCCUGUUCAUCUUUGUCGCAGCUUGAUCCUAAGAUUUGAACUUCAUAUAUAUAUGUGCGGUUCAAUGGAGAAUUCGUUUGGAGAUACAAGUGAUACAACCUACAUGUGCACUUAUGUUUUCCUUGAACCAUGUACAUUUAACCGUGAAAUGUGUUGAAAUGCCUUUUGGAUCAAACCUUCUUUGACAUUUUGUCAUUUUUUUGCUUGAAUCUCCGUUAUGUGGCAGAAUAGCCCAUUGCCAGCAGGUUUUGGGAGCAUUUUGGAAAUUUUUGCUAGUGCACGAAAAACGAUGCGAAAUGGGUGCAUUUCGGUAACCGAAUGCUCUAUUUCGAGGUAGCGUACUUCCAACGGAUUUUUUCCCUACGAAUACAUCCAAUCUACCCCAUUAAACCCUAGAUGAUGUUUGGGAGCAUUUUAGAGUAUUUCCUUAGUGCACGAAAAAGAUGCGAAACGGGUGCAUUUCGAUACCCAAAUGCACUGUUUCGACUGAUUAUUCACUACGAACACAUCCAAUCUACUCCAUUAGACCCUAGAUGAUGUUUGGGAGCAUUUCGCUGCAAAAAAAACGAUGCGAAACGGAUGUGUUUCAGUACCCGAAUGCACUGUUUCGGGAUAUCGAACUUUCGACGGAUUUUUUCGCUACGAACGCAUCCAAUCUACUCCAUUAGACCCUAGAUUAUAUUUGGGAGCUUUUUGGAACAUUUCGCUAGAGCAUGAAAAACGAUGCGAAACGGGUGCAUUUCGAUACCCAAAUGCACUGUUUCGAGUAGCGAACUUCCAACUGAUUUUUUUGCUACGAACACAUCCAAUCUACUCCAUUAGACCCUAGAUGAUGUUUGGGAGCAUUUUGCUAUUGCACAAAAAAUGAUGUGAAACGGAUGCGUUUCGGUACCUGAAUGCACUAUUUCGGGAUAUCGAACUUCCGAUGAAAUUUUCGCUACGAACGCAUCCAAUCUACUCCAUUAGACCCUAGAUUAUAUUUGGGAGCAUUUUGGAAUAUUUCGAUAGUGCAGAAAAACGAUGCGAAAUGGGUGCGUUUCGGUACCCAUAUGCACCGUUUCGGGGUAGCGAACUUUUGAUGGAUUUUUUUUGCUACAAACGCAUCCAAUCUACUCCAUUAAACCCUAGAUUAUAUUUGGGAGCAUUUUGGAACAUUUUGAUAGUGCAGAAAAACGAUGCGAAACGGGUGUGUUUAGUACACGUAUGCUUUGUUUCGGGGUAGCGAACUUUUGAUGGAUUUUUUCGCUACGAACGCAUCCAAUCUACUCCAUUAGACCCUAGAUGAAUUUUUGGAGCAUUUUGGAACAUUUCGCUAGUGCACGAAAAAUGAUGCAAAAUGGGUGCGUUUCGGUACCGAAUGCACUGUUUUGGGGUAGCGAACUUUUGACGGAUUUUUUCGCUAGGAACGCAUCCAAUCUACUCCAUUAGACCCUAGAUGAUGUUUGGGAGUAUUUUGGAGCAUUUAGUUAGUGCACAAAAAACGAUGCAAAACAGUGCAUUUCAGUACAACUAUGGAAAUGUUGCGAAAAAUUGUUAUAAGGAUAUGGAAAUGUUUUGAAAAUGAUAUUUCAAAUAAUAUACUAGUUACAACUAUUAAAUGAGUCACCAUCACAAUGGUCAUGAAAUAAAAUGUAAAAUAUCAAAACUUGGCAUGUCUGUUUGCUUGAAAAUGGAACGAAUGAGUGGCACGCUGGAGGCGUGCCUCAGACUCUAGUAGUAUAAGUUCUGAACUGAGAUGGAAAAAAGGCACGCCGAAUGGGCGUCUCAAGCUCUAGUUGGCAGAAUUGGGCCACAUCAUCACUACAGCCUCAAGCCCUAAAAGGCACAAAGAAAGGUGCUCACCAACCAGAUAGCAAAAUCAUAAGAGGAGGUUGGCAGCCACAUAACCAAAGAGACACGGCAACUAGAUAAUGAAAACACGAGUUCCUCAGGGAUGAGGCUAAAGGAGGUCGGCAGCCACAUAGCCAAAGAGGCACUAGGGUAUUUGGUUACUCGUAUCAUUUAAGUUCGUAUAAAGAUAAAUACUGUUCCUUUUAUUUGGUUGGAUUAAAGGUGUAUUUGGUUACAUGCACCACAAGAUUAAAUGCAUGGAUGAUCCUAGAUGGUGGGUUCAACCAAUUUGUUUGCAUCAUAUGGUUCGCUAUUAUUAGUAAAUAAUGUAUUAAGUGGGAUGGCUUCAUCAUGACCGGGGACCGGGAUGGUACAAUUCAUCUAACCAAACAAAAUAAUCAUUAUUAUUUUGAACCAUUUCAUACUGUUGGCGCUAGAAAUCGGUCAACCGAAUCCCAGCGACCGACACACGACCCGGGAGAAUCUGCUUAGCUCCUGUUCGGGUGAAUGCCCUGGUGCGAUUCGCGCGGCGUGCCAGCCAAUCUGACCUAUUGAUUGGCAAGGAAGAAUACGUGUCAGGUCCAGAAAUCUCGAUCGGCUACUUUCCGAUCUCGAGAGAGUUUAUCAGCGAACCGGCCGAUUUACUGUAACAACGAAAUCGGCUAUAGGACAGCCCGAUCUCUGUAGCCUUGUAGACAAGAAAUUACUAAAGGAAUCGGUACAAAGCUAUGAUAACAACACUAGGAACAGAUCUAAUCGGCAAUAGAUGAAUUUGAUAGCAAAAUAUGGAAAGAGCCGAAACUACCAAUUCCUAGCUGGAUAAUUGGUGAUAAAGACUAGAAAAACAAGUAAGACCUAUGAAUCUAGUAAAUAUCGAUAACUAGUGAAUAAAUCUAAACGAAACCACAGCGAUACGCCUGGAGUUAAAGCUUAGAUAUUACUCGAUAAACGGAACUUACAGAAUCGGCCGGAGAUCAAGAUGAUGCAGCCCCGCCAAUCCGCACGAACUCGUGGAAAAGAGAAAAAAUAGUAGCGAAGUCGCUUGAAAGUAAGUACGAGGAAAAAAGUAGCUUGUUGUAUUGAUUGGUUGAUGAUUACAGAUUUACAAAGGUAGCUAUUUAUAGCCCCGUACAGAUAACUUCUUAACCGACUAGAGUUAUAUCCCUAAUUUAAACAGAAAACGAAUAUCUACAAGCACAAUUCGUGCUAGGUUAGUUACUCCACGCUUCGUGGGCUGAUUUCCAUCUUAUCCUUCUAUCUCUUUCCAAGCCCAUACAGGCCCAAUUAGCCCAUCUUCCAAAUCGGCCGAUUCCUUAUCGGCAAAAGAUUACCGAUUGGGACCUUGGUGCAUUCGACCCAAAGCGAAACAAAAGUCACCGACCGAUCUCGCACCAUAGCACCAUUUAGCCGAUUCCCAACUGUGCUUCUCCGAUUCCCCUUCUUCUUGGCGCCGAUUCUCCUAGUGACAAAAUCUGGCGUCAACACAUGCCCCCCAGUUUCGGAGUAAAGCAUAGUCCUUUACUUCGAAAUUCUUUAUAACCUCCCCUCCGAAACGGCCGCAGUGAAAAUAUCCUUCCGUUUCGCGGUCUUCCAGCUGAUCAUUGCAAUUUUUCGAAACGGGCGCCCAAGACAACCACUACCCCCGAAAAACUCGAAGCGCCGGCGUGAUAAAAAUUCCAUUUUUACCCCCCUUCAGGCAUCCUUUAAAUAGCGCCUCACCGCAACUCAUCUUCAAGCUCACGUCUCUUUUCCCAGCGCGCGCGCAUUCUUCCUCUCUCAGCACUUUUCCCUUGCCACCGAAGCUUUCUAGCUCCACUUCCUGUUACUUCUCCCUUCUUCUCUUUCCAAUGGCGGCUCCUUCCGGCAGCUCUCCUUCGCGCGACGCCCCAGAGGUAGCGCCUCCGAUGGUGGUAGCGACAACCGUCACUCCUUCCACAGAUGAGAGAGCUUCAUCGGAGAUCCCAAUGGCGAUCCCCAUCGCGGCCCCAUCGUCCGCAUCCGCAUCGGCGACCACGCCGAUCACUCAGAACUUCAUCCCAGAGGUAAAUACCGAAUCCUUCCUCUAUCGGCAAUGUAUUCACCCUAGAUCUGUUUCUUACUUUUCCACACUCCCCUUUUUUAGGCAGUUAGGCAUAGAAUUACCAUUCACCUCACGGGAAGUCCCGGCCUUGUUUGUCUCGGUCCCAUGGGAAACCCAGAUCCAAUAGAUCUCAUAAAUUUGGAAACCGACCGGAUACCCUUCAAACGGUCUGAUAUGAACUUAGAUCACUGGGUGGGUACUUUUAGAUCCUAGCCGAAUGAAACCCCAGGUUGGAGGGAGUGGUACCAACGGGUGGCCGCAUCAAGGAGCGUUUCAUGGGACGAGCUCAAAAUCGCCCAGUGCAUCAACCUUUCCUUAUCUCAAAUGGAGAAAAAUGAGCCGUUAGUGAUGGCAGCUUCUUAUUUUUGGUCUGAUGCACUUAAUGCAUUCUUAUUUGGGCACGGUCCUAUGACCCCCACACUAGCCGAUGUGGUCCUGUUGACCUUCCUUGACAUAUCCUCCCCGGACACACUCUUCCGUCUUUUGACCACAACGUCACAUCGGCUGGACACAAGGGGAAUCGGCGGUUGGAAGGGCUUCAUCAGAAGUAAUAAGAAGACCGGGACUGUUGAGAACAGGGAGCACGCGGCUUUCCUGAUGAUGUGGCUAGAAAAGCACUUCUUUUGCGGAAGAGCCGCCGACCCAACAACCAACACCCAAGCCUUAGCCGAAGCACUGUCCAGAGGAGACCGUGUCCCCCUCGGAAAACAUCUACUAGGGGCUGUGUACCACAUGCUUCAUCAAAUCGGCACAAGACUAUCCAAGGGAGAGCCGAUCGGCAAUCAAGGCGGGCCUUGGUGGUUUGUCAAUCUGUGGUUGAAUCUUUACAUGAGCAGAAUCACCCAGCAGCCGGUGGACCGCAUGACGUUCCCCAAUGUCGAAUCGGCAAAGGACCCUACCGAACGCCGCCGAUGCAUGUCCUUUGGCGAGGCGGCGUCAGCUUUCCCAGGUUGCGCGUAUUCUGCUACAAAGGUAGCCGAGUACUUUCAGUGCUUUUACAAUGGAUUUAAUGAAGACACAACCAUUUGGUUUCUGUAUCAGCGAAAUGACCCAGUCUUUGAGUUCCCCACCUGCUUCGAUUCAGCUUCUGGCCGAUUUGAUGAAGAUCUUUAUGAAGGGCUGAUCAAACCAGGGCUCCUACCGGCCAACUUCUUCUCAGGGAAGGAUGCCCCUACGUACGAAUUCUACAACCCCUCCGCUGCAGCACGACAAUUCGGCAUGGGUCAGCUGCCGAUUCAUGUGUAUUUUGCUGGCCGAAUCAAGUUUAGAGAUGAGCUCACAUCUGGCCUGGAUUACGGUCGGUUGCGAGACCGAAUUCCGGACUCCAGUACAAUUAACUUGAACGACUGGCUAUUAGCUCCAUUUGCCGUUCAGCCGUUCAAACUUUGGUGGGCCGAUUGGAAGCAAUUUCUUUUCUACAACUCAGCAUCGGCAUACUGCAACCUUCUAGACCCGGCCAACAUUGACCCAAACGCCGAGGUACUUCACAUAACCGAUUUUUAUUCCUCUUAACAUGGUUGAGUACUAAUGAUUUUAUUAUUUCUUUAGGCCGAGAAUCGGACCCCUCCAACGCAUAGCCGCAGCGGACGACUAAUAGAGAGUCAUCCAUAUACUACUUAUCCUCUUAUCGGCUAUGACACUCCGUCUGUUGACGUGAUUGCUGGCCGAUCAAAGCAAGUUCAUAAGAGGACCACUAAAAAGACCAGUCGCCGAGUCCGGGCUCGUACGGAAUCGGCGGAUCCUCCUGUGCUCGUAUCGGCAGAAACUUCGACCGCAUUACCUUCCCAGGUCAUUCAAAGUGCCAAUACUCAAACCAUCACACAAGCCGGGGCGGCUGCCGCAUCACUAUUGUUGGAAGCCAUACAGGUAAGCCUGAGUUUUGCUAUCUCCGAUUGUCAUUCUGAUAUUAACCCUUCUUAACUUUGGACCACACAGAGCGCCCCUAUAGAAAUACAACAAUCGGCAGCAACUCAACUAGACAUCGACGCGCCCCCGCCCCCAUCCGUUGAGGUAUAAUAUUUAUCUUACCGAUUUCCUUCCGGUAUCUUCGUAAUGUACUUAUUCAACCUUCUGACACAGGCCAUCGGCACCCCGAACGCUCCUCGACCACCGAUCUCUUCUCAGGGAGCUGGACCAAGCACUGCGCCGAUUAUCGUGGAGUCUUCUUCAUCUGAUGAACCCAUGGCGCAGGCUCCUGAGCAAGACACGACGGCUUUACAGGUGCAGCAUGAGGAAAUUCGCUUCAAAAUGGUAAGUUUCUAUCUCGGCUUUCACCCAGCCGAUUUGCUCUCAUUCCCCGCCGACUUAUCCUUUUUCCUUAUUUUCUUUAGGAACAAGACUCCCCCGACAACAGCCUCUUCUCCUUUGCGGUUGCUCUUUCCGAUGACAAAGAAGUCGCUUCCCACCAAGUCGCCCUGAGCUCCAUUCCUGAUGACGUCCGAGCUAAACUUUCCACUAUCCGAUCCCUCCUUCAGGGGGACAUCGGCCGACUAGUAGAAGAUGCUUCGCCGAUUCGGCAGCUCUUCAGUGACGUCAGCGGACGAGUGCCAGAGGAGGCGGAGGAGGCCCUGGCGCCGGCGGCCUUCAUCGAGUCCAUGAGGAUCCCAGUCUUCAGGGCCCUUCGUCAUAUGGCCGAUCGUGCAAAACUGGCCAAGACUCGUGAAGAUGAAGACGCUUUCAAGCAUCAGGCUCAAGAGGCGCAUCGGCGUAUCCAUGUUCUAGAAGAUUCCCGUCCGACGAUCAUCGGUGAAAUAGACCGCCUCAAACGUCGAAGGGCGGAGCUCGUCAAGGAGAUGGAGCAAGUGACUAAAGCAAUCAGUGCCGAAGAGAGUAAACUCCAAGAGCUGCCCUCUGUUAUUGCCGAUUUGACAUGGGAGAGGCAGCGACUUGCUCAUGAGGCCUUGAGACUUCAUCGCAGCGCAUCGGAGGUCCCUGGAUCGGUGGAAGAAGACCAACGGGUUCUUGACUCUGCCGAUCAGAUCCGGCGUCGGGCCAUCACGGCUAUCGAUACCCUUCUGGGUAAUCUGUAAAACACUGACUGUUUUGUACGAACAUUUACUAUCUUCUUUGACCGUCCCUCGCGAUGCCCUUUCUAUUUACUGCCUCCUUAUUACCGAUGGGACGUGGCCUUACCAGAUUUCCACGCAUUUUUUCCAUAAAUACCGACCUCCGCGCCUACUCCCGAUAGCACUGACCUGGCUCUCGUUUUACUUUUCUUCUUCUUCUCAUCGGCGCGACUGCUCUGUCAUGGCUUCAUCGUCCUCUUCUUCUGUUAACCAGGUGAAGCCCUGACCUUUACCUUCCCUUAGAUCUUAGGAAAAGAAUGUUCCUUCUUAUCCCUUCUUUGUUUUAGCCUCAACGUCUUAGCCCUGAGCUCGUGCGCGCCAUCGAGUGCAUCCACUCCGAGGACCCAUUGUCAUCGGAGGACAAGGCGCUGAUCCUGGCUCACCGAGAGGAACUCCGAGACCACAUUACUGCGGAAGCUCGUGUGGUCUUGGAUUCCGUGGUGAAUGAAAAUAAUCGCCGAUCUCCAACCGUCGGGGGCCAUCGCCAUGACGAACCUGAAGAUGACGUCACCUCGGCAGCCCGCACAAUUUUGGACUUCAUGGAGAGGAACGGCGGCCAGCGACCCCCCACCGACAGGAACCGUCUACUUCCUCGGCCAGUCGUCCUCACGGCGGCAGAGACCUCGCGCCUCCGUGUCGUGAACAAGUUGGAGCAGAACGGGAAGGCGUCCAAGAAGAAGAACAACUAGUUUGUUUUUGUAUUUUUUGUUCUAAGGGCGACUAAAUGUUUUGUCGGCCAUGUAACCCGUCACCCGUACCGAAUGAACGUAAUCGGCCGAUCCGGUCGACUAUGUGUUUAAACCGAUUUGUAUCGGCUAUGUGUUUGAACCGAUUUGUAUCGGCUAUGUGUGAUUGUGUCACGGUCAAUUUCUCACGCUCCGUCCCAUAUACUAGGGUAGUAUCUUUUUAAGUACCUUCCAUUUAGAGCUCUGGUAAAUUCUUCUCCUUCUAUUGUUUCCAAAAUAUAAGCAUUUCCUGGAGCGCAUCUGCCGAUUUUAUACGGCCCUUCCCAGGUAGGGGACCAUUUUCCGAAUUUAGGAUCUUUCGACCUGAUCGGCAACACUAACUUCCAUACCAAAUCUCCAGGAGAGAACUGUUUGACUUUGACCUUCUUAUCGUACCACCUGGCUACUCUCUUUUUAUUUUCUUCAAUGCUUAUCAGGGCCCUCAAUCGUUGGCAAGCCAAAUCGUCAAGUUCCCUUUUCAUAAGUGAUGAGUAAUCAUCGGCCGAUAACUGGUCCUGGAGCGAAAUGCGUCUCGAUCCUGCCCUUGAUUCCCACGGUAGUACUGCAUCGUGACCGUACACCAACUGGUAGGGAGACAAUUUGGUAGCCCCAUGACAAGCCAUCCUGUAUGCCCACAGGGCCUCAGUCAAACAUAGAUGCCACUUCUUUGGCUGUUCUUCGAUUUUCCUUUUGAUCAACUUGAUUAUUCCUUUAUUGGAGGAUUCUGCUUGACCAUUGGCUUGAGCGUAAUACGGAGAAGAAUUUAACAAUUUGAUUCCCAUAUCGGUCGUAAACUCCUCAAAUUCCCCCGAUGUGAACAUCGUUCCUUGAUCGGUUGUUAUAGUCUGAGGGAUGCCGAAUCGGUAGACGAUGUGGUCCCUUACGAAGUCGGCCAUGAUAGCCGAUGUCACGGCUCUCAACGGGAUUGCCUCCACCCAUUUGGUGAAGUAAUCAGUAGCCACCACAAUAAAUUUGUGCCCCUUGCUUGACGGUGGGUAAAUUUGGCCGAUAAGGUCUAUUCCCCACCCCCUGAACGGCCAUGGCUUGAUGAUGGGAUUCAUGGCCGAUGCGGGUGCACGUUGGACAUUUCCAAACUUUUGACACUCCUAACAACCUUUAUAAUAUUUGAAACAGUCUUCAAGGAUCGUAGGCCAAUAGUACCCGUUGUUCCUGAUCAUCCACUUCAUCUUAUGUGCCGAUUGGUGUGCUCCACAUACCCCUUCAUGGAUUUCUCCCAUUAGAGUCUUGGCCUCUUCUGUCCCAAGGCAUUUAAGAAGGACCCCGUCAAUCGUUCGGUAGAACAGAUCAUCUUCGAGCAGUACGUAUUUGGUGGCAUGAAAGCGUACUCGUCGCUCCACCUUUUUAGACGGAUCCUUCAGGUAAUCGGCAAUUUCUUUACGCUAGUCGUCAGCUGCGAGUUCUAAAGCCAUAGCGCCCAGAAUCGGCCGAUACCCGGAUGCGUGCUGGGCGAGUUUGUUUGCUUCUUCGUUGCGGUCCCUUGGAACAUGCUCGAUUACUGCCGAUCUGAAUUCUUUUAAAAGCUGUAAGCAAUCUUCGUAAUAAAUUCUUUAUACGUCAUCUUUGCACUCAGCCCUUCCGGUCAAUUGAUCCACAAUAAGCAUAGAAUCUCCGAAGAUCUCAACAGAAUCGGCCUUGACUUCUCUCAAUAGUUGUAAGCCUUUUAAUACAGCUCUGUACUCCGCUUGAUUGUUAGUAGCGGCGGUUUCUAUCGGCAGAGAAAAACCAUAGCUUGCCCCCCGAGGCGAUAUGAGAACGAUGCCGAUUCCUGAUCCGACCCCGCAUGACGACCCGUCGAAAAAUAAUUGCCAAGGCGCCAGUUCCACGAGGGCGAUCUCCGGUCCACAGUGCUGGGCGACGAAAUCGGCCAUGACUUGACCCUUGACGGCUUUUGCCGAUUCAUACCGCAGGUCAAAUUCUGAUAAAGCUAAGAUCCAUUUGCCGAUUCGUCCUUUCAAUAUCGGCAGUGAUAGCAUGUAUUUUACUACGUCAUCUUUGCAUACGACUACACAUUCUGCCGACAGUAGAUAGUGCCUGAGUUUGGUGCAUGAGAAGUAAAGACACAAGCACAAACGCUCUACCGGAGGAUAUCUUGUUUCAGCAUCCAGGAGUCUUCUACUGACGUAAUAAAUUACCCGCUCUUUGCCUUCAAACUCUUGGACUAGAGCCGACCCAAUAGCUUUUUCAUCGGCUGAUAAAUACAGUUUAAACGGCUUACCAGUUUGAGGGGGAACCAAGACUGGCGGUGAGACUAAGUAUCGCUUGAUAUCUUCUAACGCCUUGCGCUGUUCUUCUCCCCAUAUAAAUUCCUGGUCUGGCUUCAACUUUAGAAGUGGCGUGAACGCUUGAAUCCGUCCAGAUAGAUUAGAUAUAAAUCUUCUGAUGAAGUUCACCUUGCCGAUUAGAGACUGCAGUUCGGUUUUGUUCUGUGGGGCCACGACUUUGUUGAUGGCCGCUAUGGUCUUCCGAUUGACUUCUAUGCCUCGUUCGUGCACCAUGAAUCCUAAGAACUAUCCGGCGGAUACGCCGAAAGCACAUUUGUUCGGAUUCAUCUUAAGACCGUGCUUUUUGGUACACUCUAGCACUUUUCGCAAAUCGGCCAGAUGUUCCUCGUGACUUUUGGACUUGACCACAACAUCAUCGAUGUAGAUUUCUACCAGGAGGCCAAUGAGUUUGUGAAAAAUGUAGUUCAUAGCUCUCUGAUAUGUAGCGCCAGCAUUCUUCAAGCCGAAAGUCAUCACCACCCACUCGAACAAACCAAGAUGGCCUGGACAUCUGAAGGACGUUUUGGGUAUGUCCUCUUCGGCCAUAAGUAUUUGAUUGUAUCCAGCGUUUCCGUCCAUGAAGCUAAUGAUUUUAUGUCCCGCGGCAGCGUCGAUCAGUACAUCGGCCGUUGGCAUGGGGUAACCAUCCAUCGGUGUGGCCUGAUUAAGAUUCCUGAAAUCAACGCAAACGCGUAACUUCCCAUUUUUCUUGUACACUGGCACGAUAUUAGAAAUCCACUCGGCAUAACGACAUUGCCGAAUAAAUUUUGCUUCGAUUAGCCGAGUUAUUUCAGCUUUUAUGUCUGGUAAAAUUUUAGGAUUGCAACGCCGUGCAGGUUGUUGGUACGGCCGAUACCCUGGCUUUAUGGGUAGCCGAUGUUCAACAAUAGAUCGGUCUAAACCGGGCAUCUCGUGAUACUCCCAAGCAAAACAAUCCUUGAAUUCUCUUAAUAAAUUUGUCAAUUUACACUUGUAUUCUGGAUCUAAAUUUGCACUAAUAAAAGUCGGCCUUGGUUUGGUUCCAUCACCUAAGUCUAUCAUCUCUAAUGAAUCGGCCGACGUGAAUCCGUGCCCUAGCUUCCCAUCUUCUCGGGCGAACUGAUCCAUCUAUUCUGAGUCUUCGGAGCCGACUGCUCGGAUCGGCUGUAGGCCAAAAUCGGUGACCUUCAGGAAAUCGGUCUCCCACACCCUACCUGAUAUGCACCUGACGGUUUCACAGCUCCACUGCUGUGUGUCGGCUGCUGCAAUGCUGUACGCGGAGUCGGCUUUGACCACCUCGAUGUUAUCACCGACCCAUUGUAUGAGGCACUGAUGCAUAGUUGACGGGAUGCAGCAGUUUGCGUGUAUCCAGUCUCGGCCAAGUAGCAUAUUGUAGGAUCCCUUGCCAUUAAUAAUGAAGAAUGUGGUAGGAAGGGUCUUACUGCCGAUGGUGAGGUCGACGCAGAGAGCACCACGAGCGUUUGACACCUUGCCUUCGAAGUCCUUGAGCAUCAUGUCCGUCUUGGUCAGGUCGUCGUCGCUUUUCCCCAGUUUCCGGAGCACGGCGUACGGCAUGAUGUUGACAGCAGCUCCUCCGUCGACCAUCAAUCUAGUGAGGGGGCGACCGUCAACAUGCCCUUUAAGGAACAAUGCCUUCAUAUGUUGUCGUUUGUCAUCUUCGGGCUUUUCGAACGUGGCCAUCAUCGGCUCCAAAGCCAACUGCGCCGUCUGUUCUUCUAUUGCCGAUACGUCCUGUUGAUCGGCGGGAGUCAUGAAUUCCAUCGGCAAAAUGAAAACCAUGCCGAUCUCGGCUGCCGAUUCAUCACCCGCCAACUCGUCGUCUCCUUUAUCGUUUCUUUUGGGGCGCCACACCCGAGGCCUUCCUUCCUUCUUGUCCGUCACGCUUUCUCCUUCUUGCUGUUCCCAUUGGCGGAGACGUUGGAUUCUUCGUUUUUGAGACUUGGUCAAUCCAUCGGGACACCACCUGGGGUUUAUUGGUCUUCCCCCUGACCUGGCGCGCUCCCACUCUGGUUCGCGUCCUAACGGGUUUUCAUCCGUCACCCGAGCAUCGGCCAUCUCUUCGAGCCGGCUGUGAACGCUGGCCUUGCUAUCUGACUGGUCACGCCGAUCGGUCCUGCCCCCCUGCCUAUCAUGGCGUUUAUCUUCUGACCGAUCAUAUCGGUCACUUCUGCCCCCCAGCCGAUCACGCACGGGAGGGCGCUGGUCAUCUUGGUUGCGCCAAUCCCUGCUGAUCGGUUCUAGCCUUCCGUCUCUGGAGCGAGACCUGUUGAACGGCCGAUUGCCACGAUACGGACCGUUGCACUCCGGGCAAGUAUCGGCCGAAGGUAGCCUGAGGUUAUUUUCCCAACAAUGAAUGAAGAACGGGCAUCUCCAGUGCUCCUCGUGCCGACGCAUCGCUUCUUCUCGGGACCUUGAGCGUUCAUGCUGACGUUGGUACUUCUGGAGCAGGAACUGGGAAGUAAUGCGUGGCUCUUCUGACUCACCAUCAUCGUUCUCCAUCCGCCGCUUCCCCUUGACAUCUUCAGGCAUAGCUUGAUUUCUGGGAUCAACGGCGCCACUCUUUUUGGCCGAGUCAGACGUCAACACUUUUGUUUGGAGUGAAUUCUUCCCCGUAUCAACCAUAUUGGUAGGAAAGGGGUGUUGGUCGAUCUUCAUUGGCUUGGCUGAUUUUGCCGGCACUUCAAAUUUAAGUCUGCCUUGCUCAAUGGCCGACUGUAUCUGUUGCCUGAAGAUCUUGCACUCGUUGUUAUCGUGUGACGUGGCAUUGUGCCACUUGCAAUACUUCAUCUUUUUUAAUUGUUCGGCAGAAGGUAUUGUAUGGUAUGGUGAGAGUUUAAUCUGCCCUUCCUGGAGGAGAAGAUCGAAGAUUUUAUCGGCCUUAGUUGUGUCAAAACCGAAUGCUUCCGGCUCCUUUUUGCCGAAUGGGCAUGAUAUCGGCUUCUUCCCUUUGAUCCACUCCGCAAAUCCAACUUCAACAUCUUUUUCAUCUUCUAACUCUUCCAGGAACGCCACUUUCUUUUGGAAAUUCCUCCGCGGAUCGAAAGAGCGCACCUCUUGUCCGGACAAUCGGUGAACAAUCUGGCUCAGACUCUCGAACUCCUGUGAAGCAUACCUUUCUUUGAUGUGGGGCAGAAGGCCUUGGAAAGCUAUAUCGGCCAACUGCGCAUCGGUUAGAGCCAGAGAGUAGCACUUGUUUCUGAUUUCCCGAAACCUCUGUAUAUACGAGGGUAUCGGCUCAUCACUCCUUUGCCGGAGGCUAGUCAAAUCAGACAGCUUCAUCUCAUGCACCCCGGCAUAGAAGUACUUGUGGAACUGUUUUUCUAAAUCGGCCCAUGUGAUAAUUGAGUUUGGCGGCAAAGUCGUGAACCAUUGGAAGGCCGAACCAGACAGAGAUGACGAGAACAAUCGUACCCGUAGGGCAUCUUGCGUAGCUGCUUCUCCGCAUUGGAUGAUGAAUCUAUUCACAUGUUCCACGGUCGAAGUAUCAUCCAUCCCCGAAAAUUUAGUGAAAUCAGGAACUUUAUACCGAUGGGGGAACGGCAAUAGGUCAUAUGUAGACGGGUAUGGUGUUCUGUAAGUAUAAGUUUGCAUUUUUGGCUUCAAGCCGAAUUGUUCUUGCAUCACCUCCGCAAUUCGUGCCGACCAAUCUGGUUGUUGCUGGUGAACUGUUGGCUGAGGUAUCGGCACGUGCUGAUAAAUCGGAGGCUGAAUAAAAGGAGACUGAUGAAAAGGUGGUAUCUGAGUGUAAGCCGGCGGUGUAGUAAAGGUCGGCUGUUUGAAUGAACCACUCGUUUCAUCAUAUAGCAUGAGCUCUGUUGUCUUGCUAACCUCCGGAGCGACAGGCUGGUAUGGUGGUAUGGUCGGCCGAAUGGCCGCCUGGGAGGAUGCCUGGACGGAGGGUUUCCUUGACUGGCCGAUUGAUUCAGACCAGCCAUGGCUGAAGGUGCCCCCCAGGGUGAUGGGCUGACUGGAGGGAAUGGUGUAGAAGACAGCUGGAUGGAGCCAUAUCCCAAAGGAGUUGAUGAUGCAGAAGCGCCUGAACUUCCAACAGGAGAUUGAAUCGGCUGUGAAGCCGAAUACGGAUAAGCCUGAUUUGGUGGAAUCGGCUGAAAAUAUGUCGGUCCCCGGUACCCUUGAGGUAUGCCUCCGGCAAAGGAGUUGACAACGGCAUUGUGCACCAUGUUUGAAAGCACCGGGGACUGGUCGAUGAAGGCGUGAUGAAUAGAUUGUUGAAUCAUAUCGGACAUUUUAUCCGAAUCUUCAGAAAUCGUGAUCUGGCGGGGAGCAGAGAACGGAGUCUUCUUGAUGGUUUCCCCGCUUCUGGAGCGACUGAAAGACUUCAGACAAGUUUUCCGGAACUGUGCCAUAUACUUGUCCAGAUCUUCUCUCUGGUCGUCCUUCAAAUCUGCUUCCGUCACUUCGAUGACGUUAUCUUCGGAGACUUCAGCAGCUUUCGACAUGAUGGCGGUUGUAUUGGUCCCACCGGGCGUGCCAAAAGUGUGUUGGCGCUAGAAAUCGGUCAACCGAAUCCCAGCGACCGACACACGACCCGGGAGAAUCUGCUUAGCUCCUGUUCGGGUGAAUGCCCUGGUGCGAUUCGCGCGGCGUGCCAGCCAAUCUGACCUAUUGAUUGGCAAGGAAGAAUACGUGUCAGGUCCAGAAAUCUCGAUCGGCUACUUUCCGAUCUCGAGAGAGUUUAUCAGCGAACCGGCCGAUUUACUGUAACAACGAAAUCGGCUAUAGGACAGCCCGAUCUCUGUAGCCUUGUAGACAAGAAAUUACUAAAGGAAUCGGUACAAAGCUAUGAUAACAACACUAGGAACAGAUCUAAUCGGCAAUAGAUGAAUUUGAUAGCAAAAUAUGGAAAGAGCCGAAACUACCAAUUCCUAGCUGGAUAAUUGGUGAUAAAGACUAGAAAAACAAGUAAGACCUAUGAAUCUAGUAAAUAUCGAUAACUAGUGAAUAAAUCUAAACGAAACCACAGCGAUACGCCCGGAGUUAAAGCUUAGAUAUUACUCGAUAAACGGAACUUACAGAAUCGGUCGGAGAUCAAGAUGAUGCAGCCCCGCCAAUCCGCACGAACUCGUGGAAAAAGAGAAAAAACAGUAGCGAAGUCGCUUGAAAGUAAGUACGAGGAAAAAAGUAGCUUGUUGUAUUGAUUGGUUGAUGAUUACAGAUUUACAAAGGUAGCUAUUUAUAGCCCCGUACAGAUAACUUCUUAACCGACUAGAGUUCUAUCCCUAAUUUAAACAGAAAACGAAUAUCUACAAGCACAAUUCGUGCUAGGUUAGUUACUCCACGCUUCGUGGGCUGAUUUCCAUCUUAUCCUUCUAUCUCUUUCCAAGCCCAUACAGGCCCAAUUAGCCCAUCUUCCAAAUCGGUCGAUUCCUUAUCGGCAAAAGAUUACCGAUUGGGACCUUGGUGCAUUCGACCCAAAGCGAAACAAAAGUCACCGGCCGAUCUCGCACCAUAGCACCAUUUAGCCGAUUCCCAACUGUGCUUCUCCGAUUCCUCUUCUUCUUGGCGCCGAUUCUCCUAGUGACAAAAUCUGGCGUCAACACAUACGUGCACGUAUCAAAUAAUACAAAUGAUACAAAGCAACAAAACACACCCCGAUUGUAGCAACUCAUCCCGGAUGCCCACUUUAGUACAAUUACAGGUGUGAACUCUAUGAUACAAACUAGUUGAAUUACACCAUGCAGACAUCCAUACAUCAUGCAGAGAGGUCAGCAGCACUCCUAGGACCCUCGGAAGAUGCUUAGAUAUUGUUGACAAUGGCCAUUCAUCCAUAAAUAAGUAAUGAAAUAUGUGUUUAAAAAAAUGCAUUCAUCCAUAAAUAACAGCCCUCACACGGCUAGCAUGCCACAUAGUCCUCGAUGACUAACAAAUAUAGUUCGCAAACAUAGUUGACACGAUGCAAGCUAAUGUAAUACAGGUCCAUCAAUAAUGCAACACCUCAUAGACAUCACACCACGGGUGAGGUGUGAAGGGCUUUGUUUCAACUUGCACACCAAUUUAGUGAUCACCAUGCUAAGUAGUACCCUUUGUGCUUUGCUUCCAAGUUUAGACUUAGGUUGCGGUUGGCUGCGGUUCAGCGUUCACCCCUAGAACUUCUAGCUUGCAUGGCCCCAGACAUCCAUCCCUACUUGUUUCACCAGCAAUCCUUCCAUAUCUGUUUCAUGUACAAGAGUGCAUCUUAGUUAAAAAAUCCCUUGGUGUGAAAACAAUAAUUAUAGAUGAUAAGAAAAAGCAAGAAUUCUAUAGUAAACAUGUCUAUGUACUAACAGAAACCUAAACAGCAAAAGCAAGGAUUACAUAGCAAGCAUGUUCAUGUACCAAAAGAAAAUAUUGCUUCAUUGGUGCAAAUUUUUGCAUCAUUUUGGCAAUAAUGACCAAGAAAUUCUGUUCAGUAAGGGUGAGGCACACCAUAUGGCCUGCAACAUGCAACGUGUGCUUGAAUUAUGGAAAUGAGACAACUGAGCACUGGUGUGUUAACAUUUUCCCCUCAAAGAAGUUAACUAUAAAGAUUAUUUGGCUCCUUAGAUGGUAUGAAAAAUCACAAGGUUAGGCAACUAGUAAUACAGAUAGUGCUUACUGUGUUCAAUUGAAGUCAUAUUGGUUCUGAUAAAAAUUAAUAAAUCUUAAGAGAAAAGGAAAAAUUGUAGCAGGCAGGGGUGGAGCUGCACGGGGUGCUGGGGGUGCUGCAGCACCCCUACCCCCAGCACCCCCUCAGUUCAUGCUAGUCCAUUUAAUAUUAACUGUUUUAUCUUAAAACUUUGAACAUAAAACAUGAACUUAGUUCAAUUAUAGAGUCUCAGCACCCCCUUUGAGCUGAUUCUGGCUCCACCCCUGGUAGCAGGCAUGUGCACAUUCCAGAAGCAAGCAUUGUUUUAGUGUUGCACAUUUAGCACCAUUUUAACCAUGACCAAUAAGGGCGAGUUACACAACAUGGCAUGCAAGGUGGAACACAUGAAAGAUGAAUCCUGGCUAUGAGAUAGGAUAAUAGAUAUUUGGUACCCAUGAACAAACUGCUGAACCAUAUGAUCUUUCAGGCACAGCACACUAUAAGCAGAAACUUCCGGGAGAAGGGUUUUACUAGACAUGAUAGGGAACAAUGCAGUACAGUUGAGACAGACUUCUUUAAAUGGUGAAAUGAAACAAUCCCUUCUACUUCAUCAAAAAGAAGCUCCAGAAUGUAGAUGUAGUGGCGGGGGAGCUAUAAGUGCUAAUUUUGCGGAUGGAAAUGUAAAAGAUAGUACGAUUUAUCAAUGCAGGUACAAUAUUAACAAUUGAGAGACAAAUAGUUAAUUGAAUAACAAUAAACCAGACAGAUCUAAAGAACACUAGGACUAGGAGCACUGCUAUGAAUAAACUAAUAAUGAAGACCGGAAGCAAAAUGAGCGUUAUUACACAUUAUACCAUGAUGUUAGUAGUAUAACAUAAUUAAAACAAAUGCUCCUGCCAGAUAACAAAUGGAUACCGCAGCUUCAGAAUGAAAGCACCUACUUGUGCUGCUGGUACAUUUUAGUUUUAGUUUAUAUGUACUACGUUGGUCCAAAACAGAGAAUGCAAACAAAAUUACCUGGAGGAGGACCAAAUGUUCAGAUGCUUGGAGAUCCCACUUUGAAGGUAGGUGAAAGUGUAACCCAGAGGCCUUCCAGAGCCAAAAUCAGCCACAUCUUUUAGAGUCUUUUUUCUCAUAUCAAGUGCAAUCACCAAUGCCUUGUCCUCAUCGGGAUCAGGUGUGUGCAUGAUGUAAACAACAUCAGCAUCAUGCAAGCUCAGAGCAGGGUAACCCGCACAGUCUCUCAUCAAGGUUAGCUUUGUAUUUUUAACCUGUUUCAGAUUAGGCAGCAUCAGCAUUCGAGCAAACUUGGGGCUGUCCACUGGGAUGUCAGAAAAUUUGAAAGUGCAGUCCUCUUCCCAGUUGUUCCCAGAACCAAUAUCUGAAAUUUUCAUUUUCUUAGUUGCAGCCACCAAACCUUGAGUUGCAGAGGUGAGUCCAGAGCAUGGUCUGACGUCGUAGCUCAUCUCGAAAUACUUGAUGCAAUCUCCAACAACAACAAUGUCCCGGAAAUACUUCUGAUAACCCUUGAGCGGCUUGGGCACCAGUGGCAAUGGUAAUGGAAUAUAGCGAAUACUAUGGUUGUCCCGGAGAAGGUCACAGAUAAGCAUGCCCCGCCAGAGAUCGACCCAGCCCACUGAACCGAACUCACCUCCGAUGGUGACCGCAAUGUUUGGAUAUAAAUAAUUCACAUAAUUCACUGAAUCAACAAACUGAUGCUCAGUGUUCCAUGUACCUGUCUUAGAGUUGUACAGGUGGAGAUCAAAUCGCUUCCCGUUGUUCUCAGGAUCGAUGAUCCUAUGAAGCAGGGCGAAGUAGAACAUAUCUUGGUCGCGGCAACGCAAAAGCACAAGCUCGUGGUAGGAGAACGGGAAGUCGAGCGGGAUGGGUAACAUCUUAAGUGACGGCCGGUUGUUCUCGGUGCCGGCCUGGUAGACGAAGUAGUGGCAGCUCUCAGCGUCGAGGCUGUCGUCCUGACGGAGGAUGGGGAUGCGGAGCAGGACGAGGUCGUCCUCCGAGUAGAUGACCGUGGGCAACUUGUAGAACGCGGAGGGCUUCACGUCGGGGCAAUGGACAGUGAAGCAGGAGACCCGCGGCGGGCUGGCCGCCCAGAAGGUGACCUGGAUUCUCUUGCCGUCCGCCGUGAAGCCAUCGGCGGUAGUGCCGUUGAGGCGACAGCUGAGGUAGCCGUAUCGGUCGAGGAGGAUCGACUCAGGAGGAGGAGAACCCGGAUCCUCGGUGUGGAUAAGCGGAGGGAUCCUGAGGAACGGAUGGACGGACGAGUCGGCCAUGGGAAGAUCUGGUGUGUGGGCGGAGCGGGGAGAGUCGACGCGGAGGUGAGGAGGGUAUCGGAUCUGAGCGGCGGCUUGGCUGCCGAAAUAGAGAUU
This 32913-nucleotide long non-coding RNA is filed under the name Setaria italica (foxtail millet). Its description in RNAcentral is "long non-coding RNA (SITA_LNC004311)". Lineage: Eukaryota; Viridiplantae; Streptophyta; Magnoliopsida; Poales; Poaceae. The record is from RNAcentral.